GAUGCUUUAGCUGUUGAGGCGAAGAAGGGAAUUGAGGUAAGGCUGCAUAAGAGAAUGGAGUUACUGAGCGAAUAUUCAAACGUCUAUUUAUGUGAGAACUUCUUGCCCCUUUGUAUGACACCACCUUAGCCUUAGUCAGUAAGAGAGGGGGGUGACUAUUAGAUAGGGACUCUGGAAGUUCAUGGGAAGAGGUUAGUGGAU
RNAcentral lists this long non-coding RNA (201 nucleotides) under Nicotiana benthamiana. Its description in RNAcentral is "long non-coding RNA (NBEN_LNC040611)". The record is from RNAcentral. Lineage: Eukaryota; Viridiplantae; Streptophyta; Magnoliopsida; Solanales; Solanaceae.